This 253-nucleotide ribosomal RNA is filed under the name uncultured Ruminococcus sp. RNAcentral's name for it is "partial 16S ribosomal RNA". It matches the Rfam family "Bacterial small subunit ribosomal RNA", at positions 524 to 776 of the family's 1533-position model. Lineage: Bacteria; Bacillati; Bacillota; Clostridia; Eubacteriales; Oscillospiraceae. The record is from RNAcentral.
UACGUAGGUGGCGAGCGUUAUCCGGAAUGAUUGGGCGUAAAGGGUGCGUAGGCGGGCUUGCAAGUCAGAAGUGAAAUCUAUGGGCUUAACCCAUAAACUGCUUUUGAAACUGUAAGUCUUGAGUGAAGUAGAGGUAGGCGGAAUUCCCGGUGUAGCGGUGAAAUGCGUAGAGAUCGGGAGGAACACCAGUGGCGAAGGCGGCCUACUGGGCUUUAACUGACGCUGAGGCACGAAAGCGUGGGUAGCAAACAGG